RNAcentral lists this ribosomal RNA (484 nucleotides) under uncultured bacterium. RNAcentral describes it as "partial 16S ribosomal RNA". It matches the Rfam family "Bacterial small subunit ribosomal RNA", at positions 355 to 832 of the family's 1533-position model. The record is from RNAcentral.
UGGGGAAUAUUGGACAAUGGGCGAAAGCCUGAUCCAGCCAUGCCGCGUGUGUGAAGAAGGUCUUCGGAUUGUAAAGCACUUUAAGUUGGGAGGAAGGGCAGUUACCUAAUACGUGAUUGUUUUGACGUUACCGACAGAAUAAGCACCGGCUAACUCUGUGCCAGCGGCCGCGGUAAUACAGAGGGUGCAAGCGUUAAUCGGAAUUACUGGGCGUAAAGCGCGCGUAGGUGGUUAGUUAAGUUGGAUGUGAAAUCCCCGGGCUCAACCUGGGAACUGCAUUCAAAACUGACUGACUAGAGUAUGGUAGAGGGUGGUGGAAUUUCCUGUGUAGCGGUGAAAUGCGUAGAUAUAGGAAGGAACACCAGUGGCGAAGGCGACCACCUGGACUGAUACUGACACUGAGUGCGAAAGCGUGGGGAGCAAACAGGAUUAGAUACCCUGGUAGUCCACGCCGUAAACGAUGUCAACUAGCCGUUGGGGAGCC